Molossus molossus (Pallas's mastiff bat) is the source of this 773-nucleotide long non-coding RNA. RefSeq lists it as uncharacterized. Lineage: Eukaryota; Metazoa; Chordata; Mammalia; Chiroptera; Molossidae. The transcript has 4 exons. The record is from RefSeq and is a predicted model, not a curated record.
UGACCAACCAGGGCUGGGGACAAACUGAAACUGAGUCAACAGAUAUUUAUUGAGUCUGGACCGUGGACUUCAUUUACAACGUCCUUUAAAAAAUCUGUCUGAAGAUAACUGACGCACGAUCUGCAUUGGUCCCGUCUGCUCCAGGCGCCUGAUUGCAGACCCUCUUCAAGACUCUGUGGUGGGUGCUGAGGGGGUGGUCCCUGUCUGACCGAGAAGAUCGCGGCUGCCACGUGACCCACAGAAAACUUCCUGGAAGAUGAGCCCCCCCCAAGAAUGGGGUUGUGAGGGACACACAGUGAAAAUCCAUGCAGAGCAAAGGUGGUGAUGAGGGUGGCGCGCCAGAUCUGGUGUAGUCCUCUGGCAUUCUGAUUUUCCGAGGACUUACAUAAACCUGCCCAGAAUCACCUUGGCGCUAAGGAUGGAGUCAAGCCGUUCAGCUCAAUAAUACCCAACUCGGCUCCCGGAAAGUCAGGGCUCACUGUGACGUGCGUGAACGUGCUUUCAGCUGCUGCUCAUUAUCUACAAUGUGGGGUUCCAUUUCCAGCUGCCGGCAGGACUGCCAACACACCGGUGAGAAUGGCGCUGUUCUCGUAGCUUCCUCUGCCCCAGAAACAGAAGGAUUCAAGCAUGACAGCCUCGUCUAUUCCAGCGUAUGUUUAUUUAAUGUGAUUUGGCUGAAACAAAAUUGGUAAAUAGGGCAUGAUGUCAGUGUAAUGCAGGGGUCAUGUGGACUUGCCUACUAUUUUCCCAGGCACAUUCAUGUUUUGAAGUAA